Molecule: long non-coding RNA, 1067 nt
Filed under: Homo sapiens (human)
Lineage: Eukaryota; Metazoa; Chordata; Mammalia; Primates; Hominidae
Description: non-protein coding lnc-HPGD-1:2
Source: RNAcentral
UCUGAGAGGAAUGGAGUUUCCUUGAUGAGCCUGAGAGCUGUGCCCCGUGAUGCAGAGAACUUUGCCUAUAUAACCUCGCCAGGUUGUUGGUGUGGAGCAAAGGGAAAGCAGACACCCUCAGUGAAGUGUUUCAGUAGAAAGUGUCACAGCUAGGUCCAUUCAUCCAGAAGGCUCAUCCCUGUGAGAUGUGUGUUCUGGUCUUAAGGGACAUUUUGUAUCUGGCUGAGCAACAAGGAACGCUAUCUGGGCAGAAAUAGUACACUUGUGAGGCAUGUGGGAAACAAUUCUGGUUUAGUGCAAACAUGCACCAGCACCAGAAGGAACACAAUGGAAUAGAGACGUGGACAAUGCUUUCUCUGUGAAAGGCUGCAGAUUUUAAGUGUCAGGAAGGCCUUUCGCCUGUGGGAAAGUUGGGAAGGAUUUUCCUGGCAACUGUACCUUCUCCAACAUAGGCCACUCACAACUGGAUUGAAGCCACACAUCAGCACCAAAUGUGGGGAGGCCUUUCACAGCAGAAAAAGUCAUUACAAGUGCAGUGAACCAGGAAAGCUUUCAGGUACAAAUACAAACUUGUUCAACAUCAGGGAAUUCACAAUGGAGAAAAGGCCUUAGGAGUGUGGCAAAUGUGGGAAAUUAUUUAGCCAAAACUCCAAUCUCAUUUGUCACUGGAUAAUUCACGCUGGAGAAAGACUUAUGAGUGUGGUGAAUGUGGAGAAUUUCUUUAGCCAAAGCUCUGUCUUCAUUGAACACUAGAGAAUUCACACUAGAGCUAGGCCUCAUGUGUAUGGUGAAUAUAGGAUGUCCUUUAGCCAGAGCUCCAUCCUUAGUUAAUCACAGAGCGUUCACACUGGAGCAAAGCCCUGUGAAUUUGGUAAAUAUGGGAAAUCCCUUCAACAGAAAGCCCUGGACUCAAUCAACACUGGAGAGUGCAUGCUGGAGAAAGGCUUCCAUAUUCACUAUAACAACUCAGGAGGAAAGCCUCUGUGAAUGUAAAGGAGGCAUCGAACUCCAUACAUCUGAACAUCCACAGUGGAGAGGUUCCCCACAAAUUCCAGGUAAGUGGGAAG